RNAcentral lists this ribosomal RNA (539 nucleotides) under uncultured bacterium. Its description in RNAcentral is "bacterial SSU rRNA". It matches the Rfam family "Bacterial small subunit ribosomal RNA", at positions 28 to 523 of the family's 1533-position model. The record is from RNAcentral.
GACGAACGCUGGCGGCGUGCCUAAUACAUGCAAGUCGAACGCGUCUACGUUAAUGAAAUCAAUGUGCUUGCACGGCGAUGGAUUUAACAUUAGACGAGUGGCGAACUGGUGAGUAACACGUGGGUAACCUGCCCUAAAGUGGGGGAUAACAUUUGGAAACAGAUGCUAAUACCGCAUAAAUCUUGGAACCUCAUGGUUCCAAGCUGAAAGAUGGCGUAAGCUAUCGCUUUUGGAUGGACCCGCGGCGUAUUAGCUAGUUGGUGAGGUAAAGGCUCACCAAGGCGAUGAUACGUAGCCGACCUGAGAGGGUGAUCGGCCACAUUGGGACUGAGACACGGCCCAAACUCCUACGGGAGGCAGCAGUAGGGAAUCUUCCACAAUGGACGAAAGUCUGAUGGAGCAACGCCGCGUGAGUGAAGAAGGUUUUCGGAUCGUAAAACUCUGUUGUUGGAGAAGAACGUACGUGAGAGUAACUGUUCACGUAGUGACGGUAUCCAACCAGAAAGCCACGGCUAACUACGUGCCAGCAGCCGCCGUAA